Vicia faba (fava bean) is the source of this 276-nucleotide non-coding RNA. NCBI's taxonomy places the organism in Eukaryota, Viridiplantae, Streptophyta, Magnoliopsida, Fabales, Fabaceae. The record is from the annotation of a GenBank genome assembly.
AUGACUUCAAGUUCCAUUAGUGUCGUUACAAAGUCAAGAGAGAAGAGUAUGCAAUUUGAAGAAGAAUGUUUUCUUGGAAUACUUCUGGAUUUAUCAUUCAAAGAGGAUUACAAAGCUUCAUCACCUUUACCAUGCCUUAUCCUUAUUUCCAAACUUAUCCAAAUUUCAGUACUUAACAUAAACUAUGUACUAAACUUGAUAUCAUUGCUUUGUUCAAAAUUCACCAUAAUUCCAUUUCAACCUCAAAUAUCAUACACCAUUUUUUUGUCCAAAUAA